GCUGGGCAUGGUGGUGUGCGCCUGUAGUCCCAGCUACUUGGGAGGCUGAGGUGGGAGGAUCGCUUGAGCCUAGGAGGUCACGGCUGCAGUGAGUUGAGAUCACACCACUGCACCCCAGCCUGGGUGAAAAAGUGAGACCCUGUCUCAA
This is a non-coding RNA of Homo sapiens (human), 148 nucleotides long. It matches the Rfam family "Metazoan signal recognition particle RNA". Rfam says of the family: The signal recognition particle (SRP) is a universally conserved ribonucleoprotein. It is involved in the co-translational targeting of proteins to membranes. The eukaryotic SRP consists of a 300-nucleotide 7S RNA and six proteins: SRPs 72, 68, 54, 19, 14, and 9. The record is from Rfam. NCBI's taxonomy places the organism in Eukaryota, Metazoa, Chordata, Mammalia, Primates, Hominidae.